This 271-nucleotide ribosomal RNA is filed under the name uncultured archaeon. Its description in RNAcentral is "partial 16S ribosomal RNA". It matches the Rfam family "Archaeal small subunit ribosomal RNA", at positions 477 to 747 of the family's 1478-position model. The record is from RNAcentral.
CAGCGCCACUAGUGGGAAUCGCUAUUAUUGGGCCUAAAGCGUUCGUAGCCGGACUGAUCAAUCCUUUGUGAAAUCGUAGAGCUCAACUCUGCGGCGUGCAGGGGAGACUGUCAGACUAGGGACCGGGAGGAGCAAGAGGUAUUCUUUGGGGAGCGGUAAAAUGCUAUAGUCCAAAGAGGACCACCUGUGGCGAAGGCGUCUUGCUAGAACGGAUCCGACGGUGAGGGACGAAAGCCAGGGGAGCGAUCCGGAUUAGAUACCCGAGUAGUCC